CAGAGUUUGAUCCUGGCCAGGAUGAACGCUGGCGGCGUGCUUAACACAUGCAAGUCGAACGAAGCACUUUAUUACGAUUUCUUCGGAAUGACGAUUUAGUGACUGAGUGGCGGACGGGUGAGUAACGCGUGGGUAACCUGCCUUAUACAGGGGGAUAACAGUUAGAAAUGACUGCUAAUACCGCAUGAGCGCACAGGAUUGCAUGAUCUGGUGUGAAAAACUCCGGUGGUAUAAGAUGGACCCGCG
RNAcentral lists this ribosomal RNA (246 nucleotides) under uncultured bacterium. RNAcentral describes it as "partial 16S ribosomal RNA". It matches the Rfam family "Bacterial small subunit ribosomal RNA", at positions 8 to 235 of the family's 1533-position model. The record is from RNAcentral.